Molecule: ribosomal RNA, 725 nt
Filed under: uncultured bacterium
Lineage: Bacteria
Description: bacterial SSU rRNA
Rfam family: Bacterial small subunit ribosomal RNA
Source: RNAcentral
AACGAACGCUUGCGGCGUGGAUAAGACAUGCAAGUCAAACGAGAGAAUUGCUAGCUUGCUAAUAAUUCUCUAGUGGCGCACGGGUGAGUAACACGUGAGUAACCUGCCCCCGAGAGCGGGAUAGCCCUGGGAAACUGGGAUUAAUACCGCAUAGUAUCGAAAGAUUAAAGCAGCAAUGCGCUUGGGGAUGGGCUCGCGGCCUAUUAGUUAGUUGGUGAGGUAACGGCUCACCAAGGCGAUGACGGGUAGCCGGUCUGAGAGGAUGUCCGGCCACACUGGAACUGAGACACGGUCCAGACACCUACGGGUGGCAGCAGUCGAGAAUCAUUCACAAUGGGGGAAACCCUGAUGGUGCGACGCCGCGUGGGGGAAUGAAGGUCUUCGGAUUGUAAACCCCUGUCAUGUGGGAGCAAAUUAAAAAGAUAGUACCACAAGAGGAAGAGACGGCUAACUCUGUGCCAGCAGCCGCGGUAAUACAGAGGUCUCAAGCGUUGUUCGGAAUCACUGGGCGUAAAGCGUGCGUAGGCUGUUUCGUAAGUCGUGUGUGAAAGGCGCGGGCUCAACCCGCGGACGGCACAUGAUACUGCGAGACUAGAGUAAUGGAGGGGGAACCGGAAUUCUCGGUGUAGCAGUGAAAUGCGUAGAUAUCGAGAGGAACACUCGUGGCGAAGGCGGGUUCCUGGACAUUAACUGACGCUGAGGCACGAAGGCCAGGGGAGCGAAAC